GACGAACGCUGGCGGCGUGCCUAAUACAUGCAAGUAGAACGCACAGUUUAUACCGUAGCUUGCUACACCAUAAACUGUGAGUUGCGAACGGGCGAGUAACGCGUAGGUAACCUGCCUGGUAGCGGGGGAUAACUAUUGGAAACGAUAGCUAAUACCGCAUAAUAUUGAUUAUUGCAUGAUAAUUGAUUGAAAGAUGCUAUUGCAUCACUACCAGAUGGACCUGCGUUGUAUUAGCUAGUAGGUGAGGUAACGGCUCACCUAGGCGAAGAUACAUAGCCGACCUGAGAGGGUGAUCGGCCACACUGGGACUGAGACACGGCCCAGACUCCUACGGGAGGCAGCAGUAGGGAAUCUUCGGCAAUGGACGAAAGUCUGACCGAGCAACGCCGCGUGAGUGAAGAAGGUUUUCGGAUCGUAAAGCUCUGUUGUAAGAGAAGAACGGGUGUGAGAGUGGAAAGUUCACACUGUGACGGUAUCUUACCAGAAAGGGACGGCUAACUACGUG
This 505-nucleotide ribosomal RNA is filed under the name uncultured bacterium. RNAcentral describes it as "partial 16S ribosomal RNA". It matches the Rfam family "Bacterial small subunit ribosomal RNA", at positions 28 to 507 of the family's 1533-position model. The record is from RNAcentral.